Pelobates cultripes (western spadefoot toad) is the source of this 2098-nucleotide non-coding RNA. The record is from the annotation of a GenBank genome assembly. NCBI's taxonomy places the organism in Eukaryota, Metazoa, Chordata, Amphibia, Anura, Pelobatidae.
AUCCACUGUGCAGAAAACAUUUGGACUUUUUUUUUAAUCAAAAAGAUAAUCAUUAAUUAAGUAACCAGGUACAUAAAGAAUUUGUAUUAAACACAAGCUCUGUAUUAUACUUUCUUGUUAAUAUACUUAUAUAUUGCACUUACAAUUAUAAAAAUGAAUUCAACAAAUAAUGUGGAUGUUAUAACAAUUGCAAUAUUGUUUUAUAAAUAAAAUUGAUUUAAAAAAACAACAACAAAAACAUAUACACAUAGGACUUUGUCUACAUCAAUUUUAUACAAAUAACAGCAUACGGGCAGCAGUGGCCCUCAGAAUCAUUCACUAAAACAAGAAAUUAGGAGAAUUGACAAUUACAAAUUUUAGGCCAAAAUAGUUCAACGAAGUGUAAACAUACCCCAAUGUAUCUAUUUGUAGGUUAAAGUUUUGUUGUUAAUAUUCCACAAUUCCUGGGAAUAGGUUUCUGGUGACCUGUUAGGAAUUGUAGCCUUUCCCUUGUAUGUCUCUCUGCACCCCUCAAUCCCCUAGUGUUAAUGUUUUUAUAUUAUUGGCUCACACAUUUCACCAUUAAAGAUGAACUGGCACGUUUUCAGAAUUUCUUCUUUAUAUUGUUUAUGAAAUACUGAUCAAAGUUUAAUUAGAAUUUCCAUGAAAUACUACUUUGUCUUAUAGACAAGUCUUUGGUUGACAAAGGUGGAGCUUCCCCUUUCAACCUUGUUUCAAUCCCAGGAGUAAUCACAAGUGAUCACUGUAGGAUUGAGGGAUUGUCUAUGGAGGCUUCCGUGGUAUGGCGGAAGCCUCCAUACUGAUUCGGCUCCAAGCAACGAAAGCACUAGGAGCUGAAAAGGACCUACAGAACGAAAAUUGGGUGGCUGUGAGGAACUGUUUGAGGUAAGUAAAACUUCCUUUGCACAGUGUGGCCACCAGACCCACUGGAACUGUCACUUUAGGGGGUCUUUGCAAAAUAUGUAAAUUCCCCAUGAAAGUGACAGAUUUACUUUUAAAAAGGUUAAAAAUCAAUCAAACUCACCUUUAUCUCAGCUGCAUGAGAGUCUGCUCUCUGCAGCUUUGAUCUUCCUUCCGUGUAGACAAUACUGAUCACUUGUGUCCAAUCAAAUGCUUAUGAGAGAAGCAUUAGAACAUGGUGAAGGCACAGCAGGCUCUGUACUUGAAACCAAAUCUAUAUGAGAAGCAUUCCCUUCUUCUCUGAACUAUAGUUCAACGUGAGGGAGACAGGAAACAGUCCUGGCUGUUUGCUUGUGAUUCGGGAGGUGUUUUAUAAAAGUGAGAGAAAAGUUUUAAUAUACACAUGCAAAAGAGAAAUAAGUUUGAAUGUGGAUAUUCACUGGAUAAAUAAUAAACAUUGUUUAAAUAUUCACAUGUCCAAAAAUGAAGUACAAAGAAAGUUUUAUUUAUUAAAUCUAAAGUUCUUAGCUUUUCUCUGACUUGAAGAUUCUGUCUCAAGGGUGCCCCUUACUUAAUAGGCUUAUUGGUGGUGGCCAAAAAGUGGGGGGAUCCUAAAGAAAGUCUUUGUGUUAGUCGAUAGUCCAGAGUACUGUACUAUCUGAAGACAUUUAGGGAGAUUGGUUACAAGUAAUUACUACUGUGAGUAGUCACUCCAAUGUGUGGAGUCGGUAAAGACAGGAGAUUUUUUUAGAACUGUUAUAUGUAUCCUGUUUUGUCUAAAUUCAAACACUGAUGUUAGUAACUGCAACUUAUGAGUAAACGUUUGAAUAUUCUACACUUUAAUAUAUGUAGGCAUUUAAGAAUACAAUACUGCAGGAGAUCUCUAGCGCUAAAAUGAUGUGUAUUUCGUCCUGCCUUAUUUCAAACAUUAAGGCUAGUAAUUGCAAUUUAUGAGUAAGAAUUUUAAUAUUCUACACUUUACUAUAUAGUGACACUUAAGAAUCUAAUAUUGCAGAAGAUUUCUAGCACUAAAAUCAUGUGUACUUUGUCCUGCCCUUUUCAAACAUUGAGGUUAGUAACUGCAACUUAUGAGUUAAUGCUUGAAUAAAUUGGUUUAAAAGGUGACUUUUUACCGAUUCCACACAUUGGAGUGACUACUCACAGUAGUAAUUACUUGUAACCAAUCUCCCUAAGUUUC